GUAGGGAAUCUUCGGCAAUGGACGGAAGUCUGACCGAGCAACGCCGCGUGAGUGAAGAAGGUUUUCGGAUCGUAAAGCUCUGUUGUUAGAGAAGAAUGAUGGUGGGAGUGGAAAAUCCACCAUGUGACGGUAACUAACCAGAAAGGGACGGCUAACUACGUGCCAGCAGCCGCGGUAAUACGUAGGUCCCGAGCGUUGUCCGGAUUUAUUGGGCGUAAAGCGAGCGCAGGCGGUUCUUUAAGUCUGAAGUUAAAGGCAGUGGCUCAACCAUUGUACGCUUUGGAAACUGGAGAACUUGAGUGCAGAAGGGGAGAGUGGAAUUCCAUGUGUAGCGGUGAAAUGCGUAGAUAUAUGGAGGAACACCGGUGGCGAAAGCGGCUCUCUGGUCUGUAACUGACGCUGAGGCUCGAAAGCGUGGGGAGCAAACAGGAUUAGAUACCCUAGUAGUCC
RNAcentral lists this ribosomal RNA (450 nucleotides) under uncultured bacterium. RNAcentral describes it as "bacterial SSU rRNA". It matches the Rfam family "Bacterial small subunit ribosomal RNA", at positions 354 to 796 of the family's 1533-position model. The record is from RNAcentral.